This 2124-nucleotide long non-coding RNA is filed under the name Felis catus (domestic cat). Its description in RNAcentral is "lncRNA (ENSFCAG00000053555.1)". The record is from RNAcentral. Lineage: Eukaryota; Metazoa; Chordata; Mammalia; Carnivora; Felidae.
UCUGGAUACAAGAGGAGACCAAGAGAGGGCAGCGGUAUGAUGAGAGGCCUCCAAAAUUGUGUCCAGGAAACUGCUGUGGAUAGAGUUUAUGUUCACGCUCAUCUGGGAAAUUGUUCAACAGGUAUCUCUUCUGCAGAACUUGUCAGAGCCUUUAAUAUACGAAUGGGCCAACUCUGAGGCUUGCUCUACACAGGCUACCAGAGGUCCCCAAAAUGUCAGCCCCGGAUGCCCACAACAGCCACCUGGUCAUCAGUGCCCCCCUGUUGGCUCCUUACGCUGCCAAUCUCCACCUCCCCCCACUUUUUCCUGCUUCCUGGAAUCACCUUCCAGAUAAACACUUUCAGCUCCCAGAAAGCUCCACCCCUUAGUCUUUCAGAACCCACAGCCCCAGGACGCCCUCCGGCUUGGACCUUGGAAAGUUCAUGUGCUUCUUCCCCCCUCCCCUGUUGGAAAACACCAGAAAGACCAGGAGGCCCUGUGUCUUCUGGCCUGGGGACAAAGCCUCUCCCGGCUGCCCCCACUCCUCUUGCAGCCCCGCCCUGAGCCUUUGCUGAUACUGUGCCCUCUGCCCAGAUGCCUAUCCCUUCCACCUAACCAAAUCCUCUGGUGGGUCAGAUCCCCCUGGAUGCUGGGGCCCACAGGGACUCUGGAUUACUUAAUAAACCGCAUAAUUCCCGUUCCCAGCCCUCUUUGACUCCCUCUGAUGAUGCACAGGAGGGAGCCUCCCCCCGGGGACUGAUUUAACCCUUUCGGGCCUCCCCCUCGCCCCCUCGUAAGCAAAGGGCCGGCGGCGACGGCUGCGCAGACGCCUCGCUGGAUGAACCGACCACGUUUUGUUUCCCUCCCGCGUGUUUUCGCCGCCCGCCUGCUAUUUGUGACAGGUGCGAGCCGCUCUCCAUUUCCAGGAGGGAGGCGGAGACUGUGUUUUCAAAGACACGGACUUGAGAGGACGUGAGGCAGCUGGAAGGCAAACACCAAACAAACCGCGGAACAGUGAUGGCUGCCACAGAGCAGGGGCUGGAGGUCAUGACCCUGUACUCUGGAGCAGACGCUGUGGCCGAGCUGCCUCCGAGGCGUGGAGAUUCUGGAAGGAAACGCAGGCUGGGGAGGAGGAACGAGUUCUGGCAGAGCGGGGACAUUUGGUGACAGCCGCUCGUGUGCGGAGAGCUGUCCCAGGGGCCCGGGGACGCGGAGGCUCAGCCGGACAGAAACCCACUCAGGUCCCUGGGGUCAGGGGGAAUCCAGGGAGGAACUCAGGAGGGGGGCUAAGUGGGGAGAUUGGAAGAAGGGACAUUCAAAACGGGGCUAAUUGGGGCGCCUGGGUGGCUCGGUCGGUUAAGCGUCCGACUUCGGCUCAGGUCAUGAUCUCGCGGUCCGUGGGUUCGAGCCCCGCGUCGGGCUCUGUGCUGACAGCUCGGAGCCUGGAGCCUGUUUCGGAUUCUGCGUCUCCCUCUCUCUCUCUGCCCCACCCCCGCUCACACUCCGUCUUUUUCUCCAGAAAUAAGUCAACAUUAAAAAAAUUAAUUAAACGGGGUGAGAGGAGGAGUAGGAGCCUGCCAGGCACAAGGCAGGAGGCAGAGGGAGCUGCCGGGUAGAGCAAAGGCCGGGCGCCCGGAUGGUGUCUUGCGAGGUGACCCGUGUGGCUGGGGCAGAGGGUGACAUGGGGCAGGGAGGACGUGGACAUUGCUGUAGACUGAAUGUUGUGCAGUCAGCAGACUGAAAUCGACUCCCCAGUGUGAUGGUAUCGGGGGGGGGGGGCCCGCUGGGAGCCCCCCAUGAAUGCAGCCAAGUCCCCUUCUGAAGGAGACUCCGGAGAGCUCCCUCACGCCUUCCUCCGGGUGAGCACACAGUGAGGAGACGGCCGUCCCUCCAAACCGGGAGCAGGCCCUCCCCAGACAUUGAAUCUGCAGCGCCUUGAUCUCGGACUUCCAGCCUUCGAAACCGAGAAGGAAAUGUGUGUUUCUAAGCCACUUGGUCUGUGGAAUUCUGUUAUAACGGCCCUGAUAGACUAAGGCAGAGAUUAACGAUGCCAGGGAGGUCCGGAGGGCUUCUGGGAGGAGGUGACAUUUGAACAGAGACUUGGAGGAGGAGCUGGCCGUGGGGGAGGUGUGGGGAGAAGAGCAU